AAAAAAAAAAGAGAUCUCUGCUGAGCUCUGAGAUCCCCGAGAGAAAAAUAUCAGAUUAUAUCCACCUGACACUCCAGAUUUCCCAAAGCUCAGGCAAUAAUGUCAGCUUUCAAGGAAAUAUUUGCACCAGAUGUUACACCUUGUAGGCUUUUCUCUUGCUCUCAUUCUGCCUUUGUCUCUGUCUCUCUCACAUGCAAACUCUCUCUCUCUCUCUUUCUCUCUCUCUCUCUCUCACACACACACACACACACACACACACACGUUUGGUCUGAACUGACUCACAAAGUCUCAAUGACAUUACGUAUAUGAAGGAAUAUCCCCAUUUUGCAGAUGAGGAAACUGAGUCCCAGCAUGGAUAAGGCAUGUAACAGGAAGUCAGAGGAUGAAUACAGCGGGUCAAAACCUAAGUAUCCUCGCCGUGCCACUUCCCCCUGCCUUAUGGGCCUGCUGAGAGGAAGACCACGGUCUCCCCUCUGCGUGCUGGCUUCAUCCCAGGGUCCCAGACAUCAUGGCUGUCAAUGUGCUGGGGCCGGGGAACCUCUGCAAGAACUCAUCCGUAAAUGCACGGAUAGUAGCUGAGGAAGUAUGGGCCUUUGAUGUGGCUCAAGGGCUGCCACGUGAGGAAUCGGAGCCAAGGGAGUCCUCAUUCAAGUUAUCAGGCUGGAGCUCUUUGAACACCAGAAGGAAGAGGGCAUUCAAGAGGAACGCCCCUCCAGCCCGUGGGAGAAGACUGGGGACGAUAAGGCACGCCGAAGCCCUCGACCACAUCAAAGCUAAGGCGGGGACACCCCCGCCCAGGCCUCGAGGCUGAAGUUGCUUCCCAAGGACACUGUGAAACACGUGGAGACGGACGGGCCAUCCCUGCAGCCCUUGGGGACUUCUUUUGAUGUGUGGACUCCAGCCAGCAGGACAAAGGCUGGCCGCUGGCGGACGGAUUGGCCCCUUGGCUGCCAGGUCUGCCUCUGAGACUCGCCCUCACACAGGUGCAUCACCCAGACAGGAGAGAGUGAACAUGAAAGCUCGUCUAGGCCACUGGCAGGCCCCGUCAGUGGAUAGUGCACAUCCCUCUACCGUGGUGACAACUCUGAUAUUCUCUCGCCGGAUGAUCUUAGGUAAGUCACUUAAAUUCGCUCUAUCUCAGUAACGUAAGAGUAAUGAAGGACACUGGUUAAAUAGGCUUGCUGUAAAGAUGAAAUGAGUGAGUAUAUAUAAAAUGUUUGAAGAGUGCUGAGCAUAUGCGAAGUCCUCAAUGAUUAGUUUCUAGCAUUACACCACGGCUCCUGAUGCUACCAUCACCAUCAUCGCUACCGUUAUCUCUACGGUUAAUAGUGGAGGGAAACAACAUUCUCGUA
This is a non-coding RNA of Sus scrofa (pig), 1352 nucleotides long. Lineage: Eukaryota; Metazoa; Chordata; Mammalia; Artiodactyla; Suidae. The record is from RefSeq and is a predicted model, not a curated record.